UACGUAGGGGGCAAGCGUUGUUCGGAUUCAUUGGGCGUAAAGGGUGCGUAGGCGGCGCGGUAAGUCGGGUGUGAAAUCUCGGAGCUUAACUCCGAAACUGCAUUCGAUACUGCCGUGCUUGAGGACUGGAGAGGAGACUGGAAUUUACGGUGUAGCGGUGAAAUGCGUAGAUAUCGUAAGGAAGACCAGUGGCGAAGGCGGGUCUCUGGACAGUUCCUGACACUGAGACACGAAGGCCAGGGGAGCAAACGGG
RNAcentral lists this ribosomal RNA (253 nucleotides) under uncultured bacterium. RNAcentral's name for it is "partial 16S ribosomal RNA". It matches the Rfam family "Bacterial small subunit ribosomal RNA", at positions 524 to 776 of the family's 1533-position model. The record is from RNAcentral.